AACUUUUCCCAACCUGCGCCAUUUUUUCCCGCGGAGAUUGCCAUGGCUCUCCUUCCCGUCUCUUCCCCCAAUAUACUCCCUCUCCACCUUCCUCCCUCUCCAUGGCGGUAGCUAAUUGAUUCCCCAUGCGUACGAAGAAGCAGGCAGACAUACACGCAAUUCGGAUGGCGCCGUAUGAGCAGAUCGGAAGGACGUGAAGGCAUGGGGAGGCGGAGCGACAUAGCACCGCAGUAGGGCGAGGCACAAACGCGCAGGCAUAGGGAGGCGGAGCGGCAUAGCGCCAUAGUAGGAGGCGAGACGUGAACGCAUGGAUGUAGCACCAGUGAGGUGUCGUGCCGUUGAUAAAGCCAGAGGAGGCGCCUCCAUAGGACGCGAGGUGGUUGUGUCCGACCCUGUGCUGGAGCUUCCGUGAUGCAGUUGCCUUGUGGAUUUGCUUCCCUACAAGCUCACACGGUACGAUUCAUUCUUGUAUUUUUGUUUUGGGUUCAGUCUUCAGUCGUAGAUGCAUGAUGUCGAUCCAUUUGAUGGUGAAGUAAAAGAAAAGAUUCUUUUGAUGGUGAAGUAAAAGAAAAGAUUAUUUUGAUGGUGCCGUACAUGCUUAUCAAAUUCUCGUGCUAUUAAUAGGAAAUAAUUUUACAUUGAUGCUCACUUCUAAUACAUGGGGAUUAAAAUUAAAGAUUACAAAUGAAAAGGCUUCUAAACCGUGGAUAUAUUAUUAAACAAGGAGUACAAGUAAAGCUAAGCUUGAUCAUCCCCAAAUUUUUGCCAUAUGUGCUUGACCAAGUCAGCCUUUAGUUGAUGAUGCUUUUCUUGAUCACAAAUAGCGUUGUUUGCUUCAAGUACCCUGGAGAAUUCAUAAAUUGGGCUAUGACCAGACCCCACCAAAGGUUGAGAGUUUCCCUGGUCAUAAUGAUUGUCUUCGUUCCGUACAUCAUACUGCUCGAUGUCGUUGUACCGCACCUCAUAGAAAUUCCUCUCAUCUUCAACUAUCAUGUUGUGCAGUAUAAUACAUUAUAUCUGCAAGUGUUUCUUCUUUCCAAAAAUGUGCGGGGCCUCGUAAUAUUGCAAAUCAAGCUUGCAAAACUCAAAAUGCCCGUUCAAUAUCUUUUCUUGCAGCUUCUUGUGUUUUUGCAAAUAAUUUGUGUUUCUCACUAUAAGGCAAUGGAAUUGUCUUUACAAACUAGGUAGUACACCAUAUUAUAUUGGUUUCCAUUCAGUGUAAACUGAACUGUCAUAGCACUUGCUUGCAAUAUGUUUGUAAACAAAGGUGACUGAUUCAAGACAUUAAUGUCAUUGUUUGAACUAGCAACACAAAAAUAAUAUGACAUAUCCACAGGUCAUGCGAGGCAACAACUUCAAGCAUGAUUGUUGAUACUUUUUUAUCACCACAAGUAUAUUGGCCUUUCUAUGCUAUCGGAUAAUAUUCCCAAUACCAAUGCAUGCAAUCAAGACUACCUAGCAUUCUAGAAAAGUCACGCGCUUCACCUACAAACAGUAAUAACCGAAUUCUUCAGUGGGUCUUCUUAGAUAUUCUGGACCAAAAUUCAAUCUAAUUCCUUUCACAAAUUCAACCAAGCACUCAAUGGUAAUGCUUUCAACAAUACGUAAACCUUCAUCCAAUAAAUCUGCAGGACUACCAUAGGUCAACAUUCGCAUAGCUAUGGUGCACUUGAGUAGAGGUGAAAAACCAAACUUGCCAAAUGCAUCUCUCCAUUGAUGAAAAUAUAGAGACCACUCACCAAGGGUAUGCACAAUACGCUGAAACAAAUGCCUCCUCAUCCUGAACCUCCGCCUGAAUUGAGUAUCAGUUUACACCGGGUUGUUGCAGAAGUAGUCAGCUUCUAACCAGUUGUUUGCAUCUUCUCAUUUCUGGUCUAUGUACCUUCGAGAGCCACUUCAACACUGAUUGGUAUUAAUCUCCGCUUCAACCUCAACAUCAAUAUCCGCUUCAACCUUGGCCAAUCGCCGCUUCAAGCUCCGCUUCAAUCUCAGCUUCAAGUGGGUCAUUCAUAAACUCCCACAUGAGCCUCUCAAGGGAACAUCUACAUUUCUAUAUACUUCAGGACACUCUCGUGACAUUGCUGUAGCAUCUAGGCCCCUAGGUAAGUGGUAAGUAUUUUGGUGAUUAAUGACAAUCGUAUCAUUGUGACUAAUAAUUUGUUUUGAAGGAAAUAAAAAAUUCAAUUCACAAUGAUAAUUGGUUAUUCUUGGUCCCUAAGGCGAUUAUAUGGAUGAUCAAAGGACUUGUGCAUCAAGAUUAAGGAUCUUCUAGUUAUAAGUGUCACAAAGAAGAUGAAGGACACUUAGAGUAGUAUAGGUUAUUUUUCUUUAUUCUUUUGAUCGUACUAUAAAGAGGGGCUAAGAAUAGUAGCUUAACCUAGUGAGUCUAGACUUGGUUUGAUACACACUUAUAAAAUUCUAGCACUAAAUAGCUCAUAGAAGCACAUGGUUAACAUGUCGAGAAGCUAGAGCUCAAGAAAGUUUUAAUUGGACGAGCUCAGAGAAAAUUUACUUCACCGGAUGAUCCGGUCUAUAUGAAGUGAUCUCACCGGUGCAUAUGGUUAUCUCAAGAUAGAAAACACUCUAGAUGCACCGGAUGCUCCGAUGAACAAAGUAAUGUAAUCACCGGAUGAUUUUCUGGGUGAUAAGUGGCCAAAAUUGUUAGAAGAGUUACACUGGAUAGUCCGGUGAUAGUGUGGUGAUAGCAUCGGUCUAUUUUCAGCAGAAGGGGCAUUGUUAGGAAAAAUUAAAGUUCAACUCAUCGGAUUAUCCGGUGAUGCAAUGAUGACAACACCAGACUAUUUAUUCCAGAGGCGAUUCCAAGGCAAGAAUUCUGAAGCUCAGUUCACAGGAUGGUCCAGUGAAGAUGGUGUUUACACCAGACCAAUUAUUGCAGAGAAUAGUUUAUUGUGACAGAAAAAACUUCCCUUACCAGAUGGUCCGGUGAAAGCAAGAAUGGAUCACCGGAGUAAUAUUUCUAGAGAGGAUUGUUUCGGUUGGAUUGAAGGAGUUCUACUCACCGGAUAGUCCGGUGAUAGACACAUAUGCACACAUGAGCUUUUCUACCAGAGAAGAUUUUGAGGACAAAAGAAGUUUAACCAACCGAUAGUCCGGUGAUAGCAAUGAAAUCAUCACCGAAGCAUAUUUUCCAGAUAGGGUUGCAACGGGCAAUUUAGCUAGUUUGUACGCACAUGAUGGUUCGGUGUUAGAUCGGUGUUCACCGGAUGAUGUCACCGGACUAUUUCUCACCAGUAACAGCUAAUGACAGCUAGCACAGUGGCAAUGUAAGUUUGUACUCACCGGAUUGUCCGAUGUCAGUGUGGAGAUACUCACCGGAUCAUCCGGUGUUAACAGAAAAAGUGGGUGGUUAGGUAACGACUAUAAUUUGGAUCUCUAGCCUAUAAAUACUCAUCCACUUGGUUUCAUUUAUCUCUCUCAUAUCCCAGAGGAAUUCAUACACUAUGUGUGUCAGCAAGAAGCAAGGGAGAGCAUUUGAGUUGAUUUCCAAGUCCCUAAUUGAAUAUUAAGGACAUUAUUAGUGCUUGAAGAGUAGCAAGUGUGCAUCUAGCUGUAGUCUAGGCUUGAUCUUGGUCAAGUGAAGCUAUUGACUUAUUACUCUUUGUGGUUGGCAACAUCUAGCUGAUCUUUGGUGAUUAGUAGUGUCUCGAUGAGCUCUUGAAGUUCUUGCAGGAGCCUUGGGAAGAGCUAUGUACUUGGUUUGAUAUCCGCUAAUCCGAAAAUGGAGAAGUGACAAUCAUGAUGGGGCACUUGAGUCUUGGUGACUCAAGGGGAGUAAUAUCCUUAGUGGAUGCUCUAACGAGGACUAGGGGAGUGCCAACUCCUCGAUACAUCGGAAAAAUAUCCGGUGUUCUCUUGUUUAUUUCUUUACUAUUCUACAAUUUAAUUUCAGUAUUUACAUUCUUGCAAGCUUUUAAUUCCAUAUUUUUUAGUGUUUUUGCUUGCUUGUUUAGUUGCAUUCUCCUAGCUUGUUCGUGUAGUCGUAUUUCUUUUCAUCUAGGCUAACUUUGCUAUUUGUUCUAAUUUUUUGUAGAAGUUUUUAAUUGCCCAAUUCACCCCCCUCUUGGGCCAUUAGAACUUUUCAAUUGGGAUCAGAGUCUCGUGCUCUUGAUACGCUUAAAAUCCUAGAGCAAUGACCCCAGGGAGUGGAAGUAGCGUGCCAAAGUUCAAGGGAAAGAACUUUGCAUAUUGAAAAGUUUGCAUGGCGAGCUAUCUUGAGGCUAUUUCGCUCGAAGUUUGGCUAGCUGCCUCUAUUGGGUUUGAUCAACCUUUUACCGACCAACAAGUUAGGUGGAAUACUAAGGCUAAGAAUGCUAUAUUUUAGGGAAUUAGUGAAGAGGUUUUCUCUAGAGUUAGAAGCAAUGAAUUUGCUAAUGAGAUUUGGACCGCUCUUUGUGAAAUUCAUGAUGGUUCUAGGAAAAUUCGUGGGGAAAGAUAUCAUGCGCUUAUGAAUGCUCUUAAUCAAUUCAAGAUGCUUCCUAAUGAGUUAUGCAAUGAUGUGUAUUCUCGCAUGAAUAUACUUGUGAAAUAAAUCAAUUCUUUUGAACUCACUCAAUUGUCUCAAGAAGAUAUUAUUCGUAGGAUCUUGAUGAUGCUUUUCAAGCUGUAAUACAACAUUGUCAUCUCUCUUCUUCAUGAAAGGGACAUGAAUAACAUGACCAUCACCGUUGCUGUUGGAAAGAUAUGUGCUUAUGAGAUGUUCUUGUUUGGAUAUCAUGAGUCUUCAUCCAAGAAGAAUCUUGUUCUCAAGGCAAAUAUGGUUGACAAGAACAAGAAGAAGAUGAAGCUCCAAUCAUAAAGUGAAAGCAAUGAAGAUGAAGAUGAUGAUGAUGAUAGUGACGACUCUGACACCGAGCUUGCUCUUCUAAUGAGAAGAGCCACAAGGAUGAUCUCCAAGUUUCAUAAGAAGGGCUACAACUAUGAUCCAUGAAGAACAAAUUUCGUCCAAAGAAAUUUGAUAAGUCCGGUGGCAGAGAUAAGAAGAAGUGCUACAAUUAUGGUGACCUUAACCACAUAUCAUAUGAUUGCCCUCAUCCUGACAAGAGAAAUAAGAACAAGUCCAAGAAGAUUAAUGCAACUGAAAAUGAGGACAAGCACAAAAGGAAGAAUCAAGACAAGAGAAAGAAGAAGCUCUUCAACACGAAUGAUGGAGGCCGCAAGUCCUACAUUGUUGGUGAAUGGGUCUCAGGCAAAAGUUCAAGUGAUGAUUCAAGCGAUGAUGAAGACAACAACUUCGUGAGCCUCGCCAUCACCAAUGAUGAUCCACCUCUACCUCUACCACCUAUGUGACUCAUGGCAAAAAGUAACAACAAGGUAAGUAGUAUGGAAGAUGAUAGUAGUGAUGAUGAUAAUCUUUCUCUUAAUGAUCUAUCUAAGCUCAUGAAUUACUAUGCUACUAUUAUCAAGAAAUAAAAAGCAAGCUAAAAUCAAGUAUCUUGAAAAUGCUAAUGUUAUACUUAGUUCUAAUAAUGAUGAGUUGCUUCCUAAAUACAAUGAUGUGCUUAAGAAAUAUGAUGAAGUAAUUGCAUCUAGCAAGUCACUUGAGGCUAGUAACAAGAAGCUAAAAUUUAAACAUAUUGACUUGAAAUGCAAAUAUACAGAACUUGAGUUAGCUUAUGAUGCCAUUGAUCCUAGCAUGAAUGAAUUGCCUAUUAUUGAUGUUGUUAAGGUCAAUGCAUCUAUUUCUUGUGAUGAUCUUCUUGAUAUACCAUGCUCCUCUUCAUGUGAUAAUAUAUCAUCCUAAGACUAACCAUGCAAGGGAGCAAGAGCUCAAAGAGGAGAUUGCAAAUCUCAAUUCAUGUGUAUCCCGGUUGACUAAGGGAGAGUACAAGCAAAGAAAAUUCUCAUGAAAAAUGUAUUGUACUACAAUAAGAAAGGUCUUGGAUGCUUUUCCAACCCGGUGGAUAAGAUCAUCAAGUCACCAAAGAUCAAGAAUUACUUUAUCAAGAAAAUUGAUUCAUAUUGCUAAUAUUAUGAAGUCACAGGUCACCACACAAGGGAGUAUCCAAUUCCUACUAAACUCCUUCCUACUUUGCCUUUCAAGUACAAGUCUACUUUUCAUUAUCACAAUUUUCUAUUGCAUAAACGUAAAAGUGGUAAAGUCAUGGCUAAAUUCAAUGAAACUCAAGCUAAGGGAAAACUUUCUAGGUAAAUUUAGGUGCCUAGAGCUCUUAUGAGUCACUUUAAAGGUACCAAACUUGGUUGGAUACCUAAAAAAAGCUUGAUUCAUGUGUGUAGGUAAACUACAAAGCUGGUGGGAAGUAUUGGAUACUUGGUAGUGGAUGUAUAUAACAUAUGAUCGGCGAUGUAAAGAUGUUCUCCUCACUAAAAGAUGAUAUGGGCGAUCAUGAUAAAGUCACUUUUGGUGAUAAUUCUAAGACAAAUAUGAUAGGUUCGGAUAAGAUAUCAAUCUCCAAUGAUUUCUCUAUCUCUAAUGUUUUUUUUAGUAGAGUCACUUAGCUUUAAUCUACUUCCUGUAGCUCAACUAUAUGAUUUAGGCUUCACAUGCUUAUUUACUGAUGUUGACGUUAUCAUAACUAGCAAGAAGCAUAAUGAUCUAAUCUUUAAAGACUUUAGACAUGGACAUAUAUAUCUUGUGAAUUUCUCCUCUAAUGAAGCUAGCUUGACUACAUGCCUCUUCACCAAGACAUCUAUGGGUUGACUUUGGUAUCGUCUACUUGCACACAUUAGAAUGUGCCAACUCAAGAAGGCGUUCAAGAACAUAAUGAUAGUUGGUUUGAAGAAUAUUGUAUUCGAGAAGGACAAGUUGUGUAGUGCUUGCCAAGCAAGAAAACAAGUCGCAAUCUCACAUCCAUACAAGUCCAUGAUGUCUACAUCAAGACCCUUGGAGCUACUACAUAUAAACCUUUUCGGACCAACUAUCUACAAAAGUCUUGGUGGUAAUCUUUAUUGCCGUGUAAUUAUUGAUGAUUAUAUAAGAUACACUUGAACUUUCUUUCUAGAUGAUAAGAGCAAGAUCAUUGGGAUCUUCAAGAAGUUCGCGAAGAGUGCUCAAAAUGAAUUCGAGGUCACAAUUGUGAAGAUCCGGAGUGACAAACGGCACGGAGUUCAAGAACACAUACAUUGAAGAAUUUUGUGAUGAUAGAGGCACUAAGCAUGAGUUCUCAUCAACCUACACCCCUUAACAAAAUGGCGUUGUGGAGAGAAAGAACAAGACCUUGAUCACUCUUGCAAGAGCAAUGUUGGAUGAGUAUGGUACACCGGAGAAGUUUUAGCCGGAAGCAAUUAACACGGUGUAUCAUCUAUCCAAUCGAGUGUACCUCUGCCAACUAUUGAAGAAGACAUGAUAUGAGCUUCUCAUUGGGGGAAAACCCAAUAUCUCAUAUUUUCGGGUGUUCGGGUGUAAGUGAUUUAUCUUCAAGAAAAAAGAACGCCUAGGAAAAUUUGAAAAACGUUGCGAUAUUGAUUUUCUUGUUGGUUAUGCAUCUAACUCAAAAGCAUAUCAAGUAUUCAACAACGCCAUCGGUCUUAUUGAAGAAACAUGUGAUGUGGAGUUUGAUGAAUCUAAUGGCUCCUAAGGAGAAGGUGUUUCUUGUGAUGAUGUAGGUUAUGAACCCUUGAGAGAUACAAUGAGGAAUAUGGCAAUUGGGGAUAUCAAGCCUAAGAAGGAUGACGAAGAUGUACCUUCUACUUCAAUUCCUCACACCUUCAUGGUGCCCUAAGUUGAUGAAGAUGAGGACAAGAAUAAUCAACCACUUCCAUCACAUGAUGUUCAUAUCUCUCAAGAGGAAGCUCAAGCUUAAGCUUAAGAUGUUGCACCACUAUAAGAUACACCUCAAGAACCACAAGUGAAGCAUACGCAUAUUUCUAAGGAUCACCCGAUUGACUUGAUCAUUGGAAGUCCAUCUAGGGGAGUACAAACUCGCUUUCGUCAAUAUACUUCAUUUUAUGAACAUUAUUUGUUUGGAAUCCACACAUGUAGAUGAGGCUCUUAAGGAUUCGGAUUGGGUGAUGGCUAUACAAGAAGAACUCAGCAACUUCACCCGCAAGAAUGUAAUUGGAGCCAAGUGGGUCUUCCACGGUAAGCAAGAUGAACAUGGUAUGAUGGUACGCAACAAGUCAACACUCAACACGCAAGGAUUUUCACAAGUUUAAAGUUUAGAUUUUGACGAAACAUUCGCUCCCGUGGCAAGGCUUGAGGCCAUUCAUAUCAUUCUUGUAUUUUCUUCACAUCAUAAUAUUAAUCUUUAUCAAAUGCAUGUGAAGAGUGCAUUCUUAAAUGGCUUCAUCAAUUAAAUUGUUUAUGUUGAAUCACCCCCUGGUUUCAAAGAUCCUAGCUAUCAUAAUCUUGUCUAUAGGUUGCACAAGGUGCUUUAUGAACUAAGCAAGCCCCAAGAGUUUGGUAUGAACGUCUACGUGACUUCUUCAUCAAUCAAGGAUUCAAAAUCGGGAGGGUGGACACCAUAUUAUUCACAAAGAUCAUCGACAAUGAGCUUUUCUUGUGUUAAAUUUAUGUUAAUGAUAUAAUAUUUGGUUCAACUAACAAAGAGUUUUGUAAGGAAUUUGGUACAUGUUAUCUAGGGAGUUCGAGAUGUCAAUGAUCGACGAGCUCAACUAGGAAGGAACAUUCAUCCAUCAAGACAAGUAUACGAGGGACAUCCUCAAAAAGUUCAAGAUGGAUGAUUGCAAGCCAAUCAAGACCCCCAAGCCUACUAAUGGCCAUCUCAACUUGGAUGAAACGGAUGGGUUGUUAGUGCAGUAAAAAGGGCAAGGGCAAGGCUGUUGAGCAACCAAAGAAGAAGUCGAAGGCUCAAAAGGAGUGGGAUAGAGCCUUAGCAGCAGCUAAGGCAGCAAACACUUAGCGAGGUUUCGCAAUCCGAGGCGACUCCACUACUCCGCGUCGGUCCACCUGCACCCGUCUUACCGGGAGGUUGGGUUUGACGCCUUUCGGCCAGUUAGGCAGCCGGAAGAGGGCUCGUCAGGAGUCAGAGCCAGUUGAGGAGGAGGAGGAGCAGGCAAAGCAGCAGCAGACAGAGCAGCCAGAGGAAGAGACAAAGCUUAGGCUCAUCGAUGUGACUUCUUAUAAGUCAUAGAGGAUUAAGACGCUGCAUUUUGUGCCCAUUGAGGAGUGGUUUUCUAAAGUUAGGGAUGAGGGAGUUGAUCCCCGGUUCUAGACAGUCCUGCAAGAGAGCUUCUUCCACUCCUAUCUCAGGAAGAAGGUUAGUUUGAGCUAGCACAAGAUGCUCAAGUGAUGCUAUAUGCAGUCAGCUGCAGGGGGAGUGGACGUGAGGCAACACUUUGACGCCUUCCCUGGACUUUCAGUUCUGCUCACUGGCGUGGACAUAUAUAUAGAGGAUUGGGUCAGAGUGUUCUACACCACAGUCUGGAUUGCACCAGAGAGGAACUUUAUUCAUUUCAUGGUCCAAUGUGACAUUUUUAGAUUAUAUCAGAACAAUUUACUUGAGUCUCUAGGGGUUCAGACGAGUCCCAAGUAUCUGCACGAGAUCAUUCAUCCAAAUGACAAACCCUCUCGUCGUCCCCUGGUUGGUGGCAUCUUCCCCACUGAAGAGGAGAUCAUGCUGCUCUUCAGACAACCCUUCGCUCUAGGUUCGCCGUGACUUCUAGACAUGCUGACACAUGUAGCGAAGGCCAUCCACAUGGCCCUGAGAUGGAGUUUGCUGCCGAGGAUCGGCUAGAGAGAGGCUAUCACCAGCCUGCAUCAGUGGUUGAUUUUUUCCAUCCUUACUCACCGCCGUUUUGAUAUCGUGGAUCUGAUCCUAUAUGAGAUUGAAGAUGCUAUAGCAUAUAGGAUGUCCCUAGCCAGACAUCAGUUGUAUGUGCACUUCAUCUCUCAUUUGUUUGCUCACGCCAUCAAGUAUCUCGAGUUCCUCGAGACCUAUGAGGAGUCAGCUACUCGCUUUAAGGAGUAUGCUCCUUCUGCUCUUGUAACACCAAGUUUUAAAGGAACAAAAUUGGGCACAACACAUGUAUGCCACGAUCAAGUUUCAUAUAUGCGUUUACAUCAUCAGUGUAUCAUCACAGUGUUAAAAUUACAAUAACGUUAUUUACGUAUUACAAAAGGACCCAAUGGUCUAAAAGAAAACACAGCGGAACAAGAGAUCUUCAGCGCUAGCGGGGCUUCCAUCUUCCUUAGACAUCAACCGGGGGCACUACAGCCUCGAACAGCAACUCUGGGUCGAAGUCAUCUUCGAUAAAGGUUGUAGCUUCAUUGAUAGCUUCUGAACAACGGUAGAAUGCAAGAGAAGGGAUAACGAGGGUGAGUACAAAAUGUACUCCGUAAGUGAAGGGAAAACAUGCUAUGGGGCUUAAGUCAAGGAAAGGUUAGACAAGGUUAACUACACUAAGCAAACUUUAGCCUAUAACUCUAACAACAGGCAUCAUAUUUACUAAGUAUGAAGACACCACUAUAGCAAAAGGAUUGACUCAUCGGAUUCCAUCCGGCUACCAAGACUCACCUAGUUACCCGACCAAUCAUACCAAACUCUGAUCCCAUCUAAUCCUAAUGAAGUCCAAGUCCGCUCUUAUCUAUGAGCACGGCUGAUCGACUAGAUUGAUACUCUGCAGAGUUUGCAUAGCUUUCCCCAUGAGUCGUGAUUCCUAUGUUGCUUCACACUUCCGGGGUGUGGAGUCAAGGUCUUACUACAAGGCAUUUACAAAGCUCCCGCCAGCUUGCAGGCACCCACUGAGGUUUCAUCGCUAACAGUUGAUUACAUCGCUGCAGAAACCCCCUCUUGUGCCACUUAACUGUCCAACGGUUCCCACAGAGUUAGAGGGGUGGCUAAUUAGUUGGCCAGGCUGUGCCCAUAUAGGCCUCGUGGUUGUGCGGAUUCACUUGGUUACAUGUUCAAAAACCGGUCCUUAGGACCCCACAUAGGAACAAGCACAAGCCUGCUAUAUAGCACCGCCUCAAACCAACCAUCCUGUAGGAUCCCUAUACCAUGUUGCUGCAAAAGAUUACCAUACCCGAUUCUUGUUGCGUAGACAUUAGUCAAGAUUAACAUUUUCCCGACUAUGAUUAGACUAGCAUAUACUACCCAUUUUAACCCAUGGUUAAACAACGGUGACAAGGAAUAUUCAUACAAAGCUUGUAAAUCCUAACAUAGGAGUCUAAUUUAGACAAGCAUGCAUAGAAGGAAUAAAAAUAGGGGCAAAAUGCUAAAGGACACUUGCCUUCAUCGGAGGGUUGCUCAAAGUCUUCAAAAGCUUGAUCUUGAAGAUGCCCGAACUACUCACCUCCUAAUCGACAAAACGAAAAAAAAACACACAAAGAAAACUACUAAGAAUAGUACACCAUAUAGUACUAAAACUAGGUAAAAUCCCUAUAAAAAGAUCCUAAACGUCGCUAUGAACAUUUUAGCAUGAAAAUCACCCAAAACGGAGCUACAUGCAAAAAAUAUUGAGUUUUUGAAGUUUUAGGGGCUAAACUGCAAAUUUUACUUGAUUUUCGAGAAUAAACUGAAUUGACUUUAUACUGAAAAAUUCUAAUUACGAGGCCAUAAAUCAAAACUGAUUUAAUUCUCUAUUGGAAAAUCUCAUGGAAAAGGUUUAUGGGCCUAUGGACCACGGCCUCGAGGCCGGUCCAUGGGUCCACGGUGGAUCGAACCGAAAGGGUAUGCACCCCUCUGAACUGGGCCGUCCAUCCGAGAUCGGACGGCCGAGGUUCAAAGGAGCUUGGACCGAGUGGCAUGAACACGAGCAAUGGCCGGCCGACAGCGGUGCGCGGCAGGGACCUCACCGGAGUAGCGCAAAAAUGCGCUACCGGCCAUGGAUCUCGCCGGAAAGCGGCGCAAAACAGAGAGGGUGACACGGGGAAGCUCACCGUGGGUCUCUUUGCGACGGAGGGGAGAUGAGGGCGAUCGACGGGGUUGAAGCUCAGUGCGAGCGGCCCUCCGGUGAUGGGAAGACGCCGAGAAGCGGUGCAAGCAGGCCCUCGGGAACUUGCGCACAUGGGAGAGGGAUCGAUUUGAUCAAAGGGAGCUCACCGGCGACGAAUUGAGGCGGCAGAGCUAACUCAGCAGCGUUCGGGAA
Phragmites australis (common reed) is the source of this 12027-nucleotide long non-coding RNA. RefSeq lists it as uncharacterized. Lineage: Eukaryota; Viridiplantae; Streptophyta; Magnoliopsida; Poales; Poaceae. The record is from RefSeq and is a predicted model, not a curated record. The transcript has 3 exons.